This 428-nucleotide ribosomal RNA is filed under the name uncultured archaeon. Its description in RNAcentral is "bacterial SSU rRNA". It matches the Rfam family "Archaeal small subunit ribosomal RNA", at positions 474 to 903 of the family's 1478-position model. The record is from RNAcentral.
UACCAGCUCUCCGAGUGGUAGGGAUGAUUAUUGGGCUUAAAGCGUCCGUAGCCGGCUUAGCAAGUCUCCUGUUAAAUUCAGCGACCUAAUCGUUGAGCCGCGGGAGACACUACUAGGCUAGGAGGCGGGAGAGGCCGACGGUAUUCUCGGGGUAGGGGUGAAAUCCUAUAAUCCCGGGAGGACCACCAGUGGCGAAGGCUGUCGGCUAGAACGCGCUCGACGGUGAGGGACGAAAGCUGGGGGAGCGAACCGGAUUAGAUACCCGGGUAGUCCCAGCUGUAAACGAUGCGGGCUAGGUGUUGGGGUGGCUACGAGCCACUUCAGUGCCGCAGGGAAGCCAUUAAGCCCGCCGCCUGGGGAGUACGGCCGCAAGGCUGAAACUUAAAGGAAUUGGCGGGGAGCACCACAAGGCGUGAAGCUUGCGGUUC